This 794-nucleotide long non-coding RNA is filed under the name Capra hircus (goat). Its description in RNAcentral is "lncRNA (ENSCHIG00010019838.1)". Lineage: Eukaryota; Metazoa; Chordata; Mammalia; Artiodactyla; Bovidae. The record is from RNAcentral.
GUGUGCACGAGGACCGGUUCAACACCCUGGGCCCCCGCCCCGCCCGGGCCUCCCGCCUGGCCCCGCCCCCAAGGUCCCUAUUGGAGUCUGCCCCGCGGGGCCCAGCGGCUCCAGUGAGAGGAUACUGGGACUCCCCGGCCCCGAGGCUAGAAGAUGCUGUGGCCGCCACUCUCGCCGCCUCAGGUGCUACUAGGUCGGCCCCCGAGUCUUCCCCUUCUAAGGAAAUGCAGUGGGUGUCUCUAGAGCGGCCAUCCUUAACGAAACCGCGCCACUGUUUUCCUAGCGCUCUGCCUCCAGCACCGAGGAGUAGCUGUGCCUGCUCAGGACCCCACCUGUCACCAGGAGGGGAACCUGGAGGAAGAGGCAAUGGCUGCAGAGCUGCCAACAGCCUAGUCAGAGCCUCAGUCAUCUGGCUCCAUCUUCCUGAUGCCCUGGCCUCCUGGGACACUGAUGGAGAUGAGCCUGUAAUGUUUCAGGACCCAGUAACUUUUGAGGAAGUGUUGGUGGACUUCUCCCAGGAUGAGUGGGCCCAGCUGGCCUCCGCUCAAAAAAUCCUGUACCAAGAUGUGAUGCUGGAGAACUACAGGAACCUGACUUCUGUGGGUGAGUGUGGUUGGCCAUCUCUCUUUGUUAGUAGAUUUUGUUUGUUUUUGUUUUUCAGAGCUAUCAGUGGUUUAACGAUGGGGGCGUUUACACGUCUGAAGCAAGGUCCUGGAGCAACACCCCACCAUAUGUAUACAAUGGGCAGGAUGUCAUUCAGAGUUUUUUUUUUUAAGCAGAUUUAUUAUUUUUAA